GUGGACGCCAGUCUGCGUGGAGCCGGCCUUGAAAUACCACCCUUUAAUGUUUGAUGUUCUAACGUGGACCCGUAAUCCGGGUUGCGGACAGUGUCUGGUGGGUAGUUUGACUGGGGCGGUCUCCUCCUAAAGAGUAACGGAGGAGCACGAAGGUUGGCUAAUCCUGGUCGGACAUCAGGAGGUUAGUGCAAUGGCAUAAGCCAGCUUGACUGCGAGCGUGACGGCGCGAGCAGGUGCGAAAGCAGGUCAUAGUGAUCCGGUGGUUCUGAAUGGAAGGGCCAUCGCUCAACGGAUAAAAGGUACUCCGGGGAUAACAGGCUGAUACCGCCCAAGAGUUCAUAUCGACGGCGGUGUUUGGCACCUCGAUGUCGGCUCAUCACAUCCUGGGGCUGAAGUAGGUCCCAAGGGUAUGGCUGUUCGCCAUUUAAAGUGGUACGCGAGCUGGGUUUAGAACGUCGUGAGACAGUUCGGUCCCUAUCUGCCGUGGGCGCUGGAGAACUGAGGGGGGCUGCUCCUAGUACGAGAGGACCGGAGUGGACGCAUCACUGGUGUUCGGGUUGUCAUGCCAAUGGCACUGCCCGGUAGCUAAAUGCGGAAGAGAUAAGUGCUGAAAGCAUCUAAGCACGAAACUUGCCCCGAGAUGAGU
This 646-nucleotide ribosomal RNA is filed under the name Salmonella enterica subsp. enterica. Its description in RNAcentral is "partial 23S ribosomal RNA". It matches the Rfam family "Bacterial large subunit ribosomal RNA", at positions 2164 to 2809 of the family's 2925-position model. The record is from RNAcentral. Lineage: Bacteria; Pseudomonadati; Pseudomonadota; Gammaproteobacteria; Enterobacterales; Enterobacteriaceae.